GAUGAACGCUGGCGGCGUGCCUAAUACAUGCAAGUCGAACGAAACUUCUUUAUCACCGAGUGCUUGCACUCACCGAUAAAGAGUUGAGUGGCGAACGGGUGAGUAACACGUUGGCAACCUGCCCAAAAGAGGGGGAUAACACUUGGAAACAGGUGCUAAUACCGCAUAACCAUAGUUACCGCAUGGUAACUAUGUAAAAGGUGGCUAUACUACCGCUUUUGGAUGGGCCCGCGGCGAAUUAGCUAGUUGGUAGGGUAAAGGAUUACCAAGGCAAUGAUGCGUAGGCCAAGCGAGAGGGUGAGCGGCGAAAUUGGGACUGAGACCAGGCCCAUACAACUACGGGAAGCAGCAGGAGGGAAUAUACGAUAAAGGGCGAAAGCCGGAUGGAGCAACGCCGGAAGCGUAGAGGAGGUCUACGGAUCGUAAAACGCAGUUAUUAGAGAAGAAAGAGCAUGAGAGUAACUGGUAACGUCUGGAAGGUACCUAAUAAGAAAGCUGAGGCUAACUACGUG
RNAcentral lists this ribosomal RNA (512 nucleotides) under uncultured bacterium. Its description in RNAcentral is "partial 16S ribosomal RNA". It matches the Rfam family "Bacterial small subunit ribosomal RNA", at positions 28 to 507 of the family's 1533-position model. The record is from RNAcentral.